UAAAAUACAAACAACAACAACAAUUUACCAGAAUCUCAUAAAGUUAUAGUGGAGUAAAUAUAUUUGGCAUUAGAGAACGAGAGAGAGAGAGAGAGAGAGAAAGAGCGAACGACCAAGAGAAAAGAGUUUGGUCUUUGUACCGAAAAAAAAUGUCCACCGAAUUGAAUUUUGUUUUGUUUUUUUUUGUGUCAAUCUAAAGACAAAUAAAGCAGAUUAAUUCGCAUACGAUAUAAACCAGGCAACUUUGUGGCAAAUUCUCAUAGUUGGAACAUCAGCAAUAAUCAUAAGAAAAAGAUUGCAUUUUUGCCUAGCAUUGGUCAGAAUUGAGAAGAACAUUUUGAUAAUUGAUGAACUGAG
Molecule: long non-coding RNA, 357 nt
Organism: Drosophila willistoni
Lineage: Eukaryota; Metazoa; Arthropoda; Insecta; Diptera; Drosophilidae
Exons: 3
Source: RefSeq, a predicted model, not a curated record